RNAcentral lists this long non-coding RNA (215 nucleotides) under Elaeis guineensis (African oil palm). Its description in RNAcentral is "long non-coding RNA (EGUI_LNC029305)". The record is from RNAcentral. Lineage: Eukaryota; Viridiplantae; Streptophyta; Magnoliopsida; Arecales; Arecaceae.
AUGUCCCUCUAUUUGGCACCUAUGUCCUAUCCUUCCAACUGAUCGGUAUCAGCUAGAAGGAGGAUGCUCUGGAGCAGCUCAUGGGUUAUCCUAUGGUUGCACAGGGUGGAGCUUGUUGGCAAGAUUGAAAAAGUCUUCAUCCCCUAGCUAGAUGGGAGAGCCGGUUCCUCACCGACCCUUUCGGCUUGGGAAGAGAGAGCCGAGGUCUGGGGGGC